Molecule: ribosomal RNA, 464 nt
Filed under: uncultured bacterium
Lineage: Bacteria
Description: partial 16S ribosomal RNA
Rfam family: Bacterial small subunit ribosomal RNA
Source: RNAcentral
GACGAACGCUGGCGGCGUGCUUAACACAUGCAAGUCGAACGGAAAGGCCCUGCUUGCAGGGUACUCGAGUGGCGAACGGGUGAGUAACACGUGGGUGAUCUGCCCUGCACUUCGGGAUAAGCCUGGGAAACUGGGUCUAAUACCGGAUAGGAGCCAUUUUUAGUGUGAUGGUUGGAAAGUUUUUUCGGUGUAGGAUGAGCUCGCGGCCUAUCAGCUUGUUGGUGGGGUAAUGGCCUACCAAGGCGGCGACGGGUAGCCGGCCUGAGAGGGUGGACGGCCACAUUGGGACUGAGAUACGGCCCAGACUCCUACGGGAGGCAGCAGUGGGGAAUAUUGCACAAGGGGCGCAAGCCUGAUGCAGCGACGCCGCGUGGGGGAUGACGGCCUUCGGGUUGUAAACUCCUUUCGCUAGGGACGAAGCUUUUUGUGACGGUACCGAGAUAAGAAGCACCGGCUAACUACGU